UUUUUUUUUUUUUUUUUUUUGCUUUUUAGGGCCACACCCACGGCAUAUGGAGGUUCCCAGGCCAGGGGUCUAAUUAGAGCUGUAGCCUCUGGCCUAUGCCAGAGCCACAGCAACGCAGGAUCUGAGCCACGUCUGCAACCUACACCACAGCUCACGGCAACGCUGAGCAAGGCCAGGGAUCGAACCUGCAGCCUCAUGGCUCCUAGUCGGAUUCGUUAACCAUGACAGGAACUCCAACAAACGCCCCCAAUUUUAUCUUCAGUUCCAGAUCCAGUUGUCUAUUUCGCCUCUCUCUGUAGGUGUCCCACAAACUCCUCAAAUCCAGUGUGUCUUGAACGAAACUCCUUACCUCCCUCCCACUAAAAUCGGUCCCUACUCAAAGUUCCCCUUAUCAGGAAGUGGCUUCUCUAUUGACCUCUCUGCCCAGGCUGAAAACCUGGGAGUCCUUCUUAACACCUCCCUUCCCCUCGUUCAGUUCAAUGUCAAGCCCUUUUCUGUGUACCUUCAAAACCAUCCCCAGUAAACCCGCUUCUUUCCACCUGUCUCCGUAACCAAAGCACGUUUCCUCUGGGCACUGCAAAGGUGUUUCUUCUAGGCUCACUCCUAACCCCAAGCCAUUCCUUUUACAGCAUUAAUGUGGUUAUUUCUAAGUACACUCUGAUCCCCUAACUCCCUAUUUAAAGACCUUUAGUGGCUUUCCAAUACUGUAUGGAUUAAAGUCUAAAAUACUCCAUGUGGCUUCCGAGGUGCUGCAUGACGGGGUCCUAUGGGAACAGCAGCUCUGGUCUUCAUUUAAUUUCUCACAUUUACUGCUCUAUUUGUAGCCUCACAGACUUAGAAAAAACGAAACAAAACUUUCCUCUCUCUGGAACACUCUUCUCACCAGUUUUCACCUGGCUACCACUACCUCCUAAUGACUUUUCAUUAAAAAUCUCCCUCCAAGUCAGUUGUUUCUUUAUUCGCUUUUGUAACAUCCAAUAAUGUCGCUUUACACAAUCAUGACUAGUUUAAAUUGUAUAUCAUUUUGUUUGAAUAUUUAAAUAAUAUCUGUCUCCCUCCACUAGACUAUAAGCUGCAUGAAGGCAGUGAUUAUGCAUGUUUUCUACUUCCCUCUGCUUCUAAUGCCUUUUGCAGAAGCUGUUAUGUAAAAAAAAAAAAAAAAAAAAAAGACUUGAUAAAUACCUUUGUAUUAAUUAACAAAUCCUAGUGUGUGUUCAUUGUUCUGCUAGCGGCCCACAUGCUGAGGCUCAGAACCUCAUACCCUCGUUUUUAACAAAGAAUUCACUUCACUUCUUUGUAGCAGGAUGUUAAAUUGGAAGUCUUACAUGAGUUACAAUUAUAUCGGCCACCAGGUGCAGAUAUACAAUUAAGACGCAACUUUUCAGAAGAAACGGUUAAGAAUCUGUGGCGUUGACUCUUGGAUCGUCUCACCCCACGAAAGAAAUGAAGAGACUUGUGUCAAGAAGCUCUUUGGGGAUGUGGUGCCAUGACAGGGGUUAAAUGAGAACACUCGACGGGCCUGAUAUACGUCCCCAGAGCUGGAUGUGGGGAAAGGGUACCACAGGGGACUGAUGUCUUAAUCCCACUCUGGAAAUCGAAAGAACAAAAGAAAUAAACUGGCUAGCUGCUUUGGGGGUAGAACAAAGCAGAUGCUUUCAUUGUUCGUCCAAGCAGCAAGAAACCAAUGUUGACAGAUCAAAGGAUACUGAAGAAAGAGUCAAAAUUGAGGGGGGUUUUUCAAAUACUUUCAAAAGAGUUCACCUAAAAGGAUGCUGAGACCUCAACAGAGAAAGUCUUGAGCUGGAUAACAGACUAAGGAGGAAUAAAGUUGGGCUAGAGAAAGAGACCCAGAUUGAGAAACUACAGAUGAGAAACUACCAGUGAUGGAAAGUCUCCAAAGAACUUAAAAAAGAGCCUCACAAAAGGAAAAGGAGAAAAUAUAUGCCUACAUCUCAGGUGCAGCAGUGCCUGUGAGGUAAGAAUUUCCACCCUCCUUAGGUCUCCUCACGCCUUGCUACACGCCCUCGUCUUACUCCAGGAGGGUCAGAUAUAAAAAGAGGGUCAGACCAACCACACCCUCUUUCCCCAAGCCUGGAGACUCAUCUACAAUCUGUCCCUGUCAGGUCGGACGUGUGGGGGGAAAGGUGACCACUGGAUGAAUUUGGAAGCUUUGACUAUCAUGUAGACAGAGACAUGUUUGAUCACUAGAUCGAAUCUCUUUGCGAUUUUCAGUAAUCAUAGAACUUUGCCUCUCCUAGAAAGGACCAGACAAGUUGUGAGACUUACCCUAGUUUGUACUGAUGGGGAAGGAAGGACUCCUACCACUGAGCAGGUGUAAAGAGAGUGGUAAAUAAAUAUAAAAGUGCUUUUAGAGCAAAUCCCAGGAGUCUUGCUUAUUCAUAGUAAUAGCCACAUUCAUAAUGCUAUGAGUAAAUAACCCUUUUGAAGAAAAGUGAAAGAGGUAUUUUAUGCUUAUGAUAGACUUACAAUAUUUGAAGUAAAUUAGGCUAACGGAAGAAGCAAAUAACCCUUCAAAAAUGUAUAGCACAAACACAAUGAACGCUUAUUUCUUGCUGGUUGGGUGAACAGCUGGCAAUUAUUCAAGGACCCAGACUAAUGGAAGCUUUGUCACUUUCUAGAAUUGGGUGUUGCUCUUCAGAGGUAUCCUUCCCACCUAGAAAAUAAAUGCACAGGAUGUGCCCAUGGGCAGUUUUCUUGGGCCAAGCCUGAGUGUGGCACGCGUUAUUCCAUGUCACAUUCUACUGCUGGACCCUGUCACACAGAUGCGCCUCCUAGCAGGAAAGGCUGGCAUCAUAAUCUCCCUGCCCAGGGAGAAGAGGAAAGCACAGGCUCCGUGAGACAAUAGCAGUUUAUGCCUCAUGGAACAUUAUAAAAUCAAUGAUAUGUUACGCUGAUGCUCACAGUCCUCAUAGGCCUGUGGAGAUAAAUGAGAUUACAUUAAUAUUUAUGUCUAAAUGUGCAAAGAACUGUGUAUCAACUGAUUGACUACCGAUCCUCAAUGCCCCCUGUGAAAGCUUAUGCAGGUUGCUUGUGGGAGUUCCAACAAAGUGCCUCAUGAGCUCCAAGAUAAUUCCAUUAAAAUGGUACCCUACACGGAAUCCCUCAUAGUAACAACAAAAGCAACAGCAAAUCAAUCAUAGCACACACUUGCUGAGAAUUUUCUACAUGUUAGUGACGGUUCUAAUUACCUUACAAGUGUCAUCUUCAAAUAUGAGACCCAUUUACCAGAUGAGAAAAUCAAGGCCCCGAAAGAUGAUGUAAUUUGUGCGAUGUCCCAGAGCUAGCUGAGUGCCACAGCAAGAUAUGAAUCCCUGCAGCCUGGCUCCAGAGGCUUCCUGCUGAAGCUCGAUAUCCUCCACCCUGCUAGUUUAACCCAAAGAAGCAAGGAUACCUGCGAUACGUGUGCUGUCUUACUCUGCCCAGGCUGCCGUAACAAAGUACCCCAGACUGCAUGCUUCAACAACAGACAUGUGUUUUCUCAGAGUUGUGGAGACUAGAACGUCCAAGAUCAGCUUUGCAGUGGAGUUCAGUUCCUGAUGAGAGUUCUCUUCUUGGCUUGCGUGGGGCCAGCUGUCCUCACAGGGUGGAAGGAGAGAGAGCAAGAUCCCUGGUGCCUCUCAUUUAUCGGGACCUCAGUUCCAUGGGAUCGCGGAUCAGGGCUCCACCUUUAAGAGCUCAUUUAACCUGAAUCGCCUCCUUAAGGACCUUAUCUCCAGGCAGUCACAUGAAGGGUCAAGGUGUCAAGAUAUGAAUUUGGGGAGGACACAUUCAGCCCAUAGCAGGUCUUCUCUCCUGGUGACUCUCAAACCAGAAAUCCUAGAGGUGCCUGAGCUGCAGAAAUUAUGAGAGCCCCUCUCCUGAGUCUCCUUUACCGCCUGGAUCCUAAGCAACUAGACGCAUGCCUAGAAUUUCACAAAGUUGCCCAAGAAAACUGGCCCUGCAGCCCUGUCUGUUGCAAGAUCAGUUUCAGCACCUCAUCGCACUUGAGCUUGAGCAGAGCAAGCAUUCUUCCCCUUUAAUUCUCAUUUGCCACCUACCCUUCCCCAGGGGAAAAUUCCUUCUUUUCUUUUAUUCCCCAAAUAGAGUCUCCUUCCCAACCUAUGCAUCUUAUCUCAUCCAAACAGAUUGGAAGAAAGAUUGUUAGUCUACUGUGGUCCGAGUUUCAGUGUGACGAGGCUGGCUCCCUCAACCACAAGGAAUUUGGGAGGAAUAUCCCCCUUUGGAUACAGCCAAACUGACCUGGAGAAGUGGGUGGAUCUGGGACACAGCUUGUCAGUCAUCUCUGGAAAUCAGCUGCAAGCAAGAUUGAUACCUCCAAGAAGAAAUGGGGAUUUACAAACUGGAUGACCCAAAACAGAAAGAGACGGCCCAUCUUCGGCCCAUCAAAUGAAGCUGUCAUGAUGCAGACAGGCCUCGGGGAAAACCACGCGUGUUAUCUAGGCAGCUAGGCCAUUAUGUCUGACAGCCGCACGUCCUGAAUUUUCUAGGUCAAACUCAAUUCCAAAUAUUCUUUCACCUUGUCAGACCAUGUAUCCCAAUUUUGCCUUUGGAAAAUGUGGCCACCAAAUCUUUCAGACACUAGAUCAACAUAUUCACUUAGGGGAUAGGACCAGUCUUAAUAAUAUUGAUGAAUAUGUUUUUUAAAAAAAUAAGCCUUUAAAAACAAGAGUGUAUAAAUUGAAGCCAUUGGAGACCUCCAGCAAGAGGGAAAUAAUGAUUUUAAGUCAGUGUCAGAGUUUCUGCUGCCCUGAGGAGCAUCUGUAAAGUCAGAUAGGGUGGGGUCCCCUUCCUGAUAGACGGAGGAGAGAAGCUUUGGAGCGGGGUUCUCAGAGCAGGAGUGUGGGCAACCCCUGAACUCGUAGCUCCACCCUGCUGGGCCAGAGGGGUUGAGCUGAGGGGCUGGGCAGGGCACUUAACCCUUAGACACAGGUUUGGGGAGGGAGACUAGGACUCCAUUAUAACACAAAGUUGGACCAGCUGAAAUCGACGACAGGCUAACCAUCUGCACACCAUGAUUGAAUGUCCAUCCCAGAGAGGGGUGAGGAGAAAUAAAGCAACUUGUUCCUAAGCAUUCUGAAGAAUACGCCAACGCCACCGCCACCGCCACUGCCACCGCCACCGUUCCAUGGCUCAACAAUGGAUACACUUAUGCUCAGAUGUCUGUGUUCCACGGAAUACCUCCAUUCGUGUUUGUGAAGAGUCUGGUAUUGUUUUCGGUUUCUAAUUACUGUUCCUUUUUCAAAUUCCAAACCUCAUUUUGGCUGAAAAAGAGGAGAUAAUGUUUUUCUUCUCCUUGGAUAAGCUUGGGUAUAAAAGAAAGUUUGUGGCGUGGCAAUGAGUUUGAUAAGCACAGGGGGCUGGGGGAUGCAAGUAACUGUGCGUGCAUGUGUGUGUGUGUGUCUGCAUGCGUGUGUGUGCAUGUGUGUAUUUUGCAUGCACGUUGGCGGGAGGCACACAGAAGUUCAUGCGGUAAGGGUCAAGGGUGCUGCGGAUGUCAGCACCUUCCCCUUCCAGUUUCCAUCAGGGGCAGCUUUCAUAUGUCAGCCCCUCCCCAGCUCUCCUACAUGGUCCUCUGAGCAGUGAAUCUCAAAAUCCUUUCAACUCAUGGAGAAGGUAAGCAAUUUAUGGGAAGCACCAGUCCUUGGACACACUCAGUCCACUUGUCUUUAGAUAAAUAUAAAGCUAAACUUUUCAUAGCUCAGCAGUUAACGAACCCAUGAACCCAUCUAGUAUCCAUGAGGACUUGAGCUCAAUCCCUGGCCUCGCCCAGUGGGUUAGGAUCCAGUGUUGCCAUGAGCUGUGAUGUAGGCCAGCAGGUGCAGCUCCAAUUCAACCCCUGGCCUGAGAACCUCCAUAUGUUGCAGGUACAGCCCUGAAAAGACAAAAACAAAAACAAAACAAAACAAAAAACCUAACCUUUUCUGAGGACGUGAUCAUUUUUAUUUGUUAAAAUUUCUAUAGGAAGAAAAUCCACCAGUGAUUUCAGUGUCUUGAUUUCUCAAUAAGAAAGUGUUUAGUGCCUUUGGCUACCUUCUUACUGUAACCCACCCCCAUGGCCUCUGAAAGGCUAUAGGGAGGCUUUGUGAAAAUUAGAAAAAUGUGUCUCUUCCUCCCCAGGGUGCAGCCUCGGGCGAGGAACCAGGCUUGAGGGGGAAAGGCAAGCUGUAAGCCAAGAAUGCCUGGUGGUGCCCUUGUGGGGCCACAUGCUGCAGCCUGCCCACACACAGCCUUCUGCACUGGUCUCAGGGCUGAGGGCAUAAGCAACUGCUCAUGAUCCAUGCUUUAGGCAUUUGUAAGAAAAUGCCCCAAAUCUGAAGUGAUUUAAAGAUAGAAUGAGAGGAGUUCCUGUUGUGGCUCAGUGGAAACGAAUCUGACUAGCAUCCAUGAAGAUGCAGGUUCGAUCCCUGGCCUCAAUCGUGGGUUAAGGAUCUGGCAUUGUCGUGAGCUGUGUGUAGGUCACAGAAUUGGCUCGGAUCCCACAUUGCUGUGGCUGUGGUGUAAGCCGCAGCUGCCACAGCUCCGAUUUGACCCCUAGCCUGGGAACCUCUAUAUGCCAUAGGUGAGGCC
RNAcentral lists this long non-coding RNA (6588 nucleotides) under Sus scrofa (pig). RNAcentral's name for it is "lncRNA (ENSSSCG00000059063.1)". Lineage: Eukaryota; Metazoa; Chordata; Mammalia; Artiodactyla; Suidae. The record is from RNAcentral.